UGUGGUGAAAUAAGAAGCU
Molecule: non-coding RNA, 19 nt
Filed under: Arabidopsis thaliana (thale cress)
Lineage: Eukaryota; Viridiplantae; Streptophyta; Magnoliopsida; Brassicales; Brassicaceae
Source: RNAcentral